AUUGAACGCUGGCGGCAGGCCUAACACAUGCAAGUCGAACGGUAGCACAGAGGAGCUUGCUCCUUGGGUGACGAGUGGCGGACGGGUGAGUAAUGUCUGGGAAACUGCCCGAUGGAGGGGGAUAACUACUGGAAACGGUAGCUAAUACCGCAUAACGUCGCAAGACCAAAGUGGGGGACCUUCGGGCCUCACACCAUCGGAUGAACCCAGAUGGGAUUAGCUAGUAGGCGGGGUAAAGGCCCACCUAGGCGACGAUCUCUAGCUGGUCUGAGAGGAUGACCAGCCACACUGGAACUGAGACACGGUCCAGACUCCUACGGGAGGCAGCAGUGGGGAAUAUUGCACAAUGGGGGAAACCCUGAUGCAGCCAUGCCGCGUGUAUGAAGAAGGCCUUCGGGUUGUAAAGUACUUUCAGCGAGGAGGAAGGCGUUGUGGUUAAUAACCGCAGCAAUUGACGUUACUCGCAGAAGAAGCACCGGCUAACUCCGUGCCAGCCGCCGCAGUAAAAC
RNAcentral lists this ribosomal RNA (509 nucleotides) under uncultured bacterium. Its description in RNAcentral is "bacterial SSU rRNA". It matches the Rfam family "Bacterial small subunit ribosomal RNA", at positions 30 to 526 of the family's 1533-position model. The record is from RNAcentral.